CUGUCACGCCCUGACCUUAGAGAUCUUUAAAUUCUCUAUUUGGUUAGGUCAGGGUGUGACUAGGGUGGGCAAUCUAUGUUGUUUAUUUCUUUGUUGGCCGGGUAUGGUUCCCAAUCAGAGGCAGCUGUCUAUCGUUGUCUCUGAUUGGGGAUCAUACUUAGGCAGCCUUUUCCCUUUUUUGUGGGAUCUUGUUUUUGUAUGGUUGCUUUCCAGCCCUACAGAACUGUGCGUUUCAUUUUGUAUUUUUUUUUUUUCAGUGUCAUCAAUAAAAGAAAGAUGUAUGCCCACCACGCUGCACCUUGGUCUACUCCUUCCAACGACGAGCGUAACACACUCCAGGUCUUGGAGAUGGGCAGACUCAAUACUGCCCUGUCACUCCAGGUCUUGGAGAUGGAUAGACUCAAUACUACCCUGUCACUCCAUGUCCUGGAGAUGGGUAGACUUAAUACUACCCUGUCACUCCAUGUCCUGGAGAUGGGUAGACUUAAUACUACCCUGUCACUCCAUGUCCUGGAGAUGGAUAGACUCAAUACUACCCUGUCACUCCAGGUCUUGGAGAUGGAUAGACUUAAUACUACCCUGUCACUCCAUGUCCUGGAGAUAGGCAGACUCAAUACUACCCUGUCACUCCAUGUCCUGGAGAUAGGCAGACUCAAUACUACCCUGUCACUCCAUGUCUUGGAGAUGGGCAGACCCAAUACUGCCCUGUCACUCCAGGUCUUGGAGAUGGUCAGUCCCGAUACUUC
Oncorhynchus tshawytscha (Chinook salmon) is the source of this 746-nucleotide long non-coding RNA. Lineage: Eukaryota; Metazoa; Chordata; Actinopteri; Salmoniformes; Salmonidae. The record is from Ensembl.